RNAcentral lists this ribosomal RNA (488 nucleotides) under uncultured bacterium. Its description in RNAcentral is "partial 16S ribosomal RNA". It matches the Rfam family "Bacterial small subunit ribosomal RNA", at positions 28 to 507 of the family's 1533-position model. The record is from RNAcentral.
GACGAACGCUGGCGGCGUGCUUAACACAUGCAAGUCGAACGGAAAGGCCCUGCUUUUGUGGGGUGCUCGAGUGGCGAACGGGUGAGUAACACGUGAGUAACCUGCCCUUGACUUUGGGAUAACUUCAGGAAACUGGGGCUAAUACCGGAUAGGAGCUCCUGCUGCAUGGUGGGGGUUGGAAAGUUUCGGCGGUUGGGGAUGGACUCGCGGCUUAUCAGCUUGUUGGUGGGGUAGUGGCUUACCAAGGCUUUGACGGGUAGCCGGCCUGAGAGGGUGACCGGCGACAGUGGGACUGAGACACGGCGCAGACUCCUACGGGAGGCAGCAGUGGGGAAUGUGGGACAAUGGGCGGAAGCCUGAUCCAGCCAUGCCGCGUGAAGGAUGAAGGCCUUCGGGUUGUAAACUGCUUUUGUACGGAACGAAAAGCCGCUUUCUAAUAAAGAGGGGUAAUGACGGUACCGUAAGAAUAAGCACCGGCUAACUACGUG